RNAcentral lists this transfer RNA (75 nucleotides) under Armatimonadetes bacterium Uphvl-Ar2. Its description in RNAcentral is "tRNA-Thr". It matches the Rfam family "tRNA". From Rfam's summary of the family: Transfer RNA (tRNA) molecules are approximately 80 nucleotides in length. The record is from RNAcentral. Lineage: Bacteria; Bacillati; Armatimonadota. RNAcentral also lists the same sequence under 2 other names.
GCCGCCAUAGCUCAGUGGUAGAGCGCCCGCCUUGUAAGCGGAUGGUCGUCGGUUCAAGUCCGUCUGGCGGCUCCA